This 492-nucleotide ribosomal RNA is filed under the name uncultured bacterium. Its description in RNAcentral is "partial 16S ribosomal RNA". It matches the Rfam family "Bacterial small subunit ribosomal RNA", at positions 29 to 507 of the family's 1533-position model. The record is from RNAcentral.
AGUGAACGCUGGCGGUAGGCCUAACACAUGCAAGUCGAACGGCAGCACAGUAAGAGCUUGCUCUUACGGGUUGCGAGUGGCGGACGGGUGAGGAAUACAUCGGAAUCUACUUUUUCGUGGGGGAUAACGUAGGGAAACUUACGCUACUACCGCAUACGACCUACGGGUGAAAGCAGGGGAUCUUCGGACCUUGCGCGAUUGAAUGAGCCGAUGUCGGAUUAGCUAGUUGGCGGGGUAAAGGCCCACCAAGGCGACGAUCCGUAGCUGGUCUGAGAGGAUGAUCAGCCACACUGGAACUGAGACACGGUCCAGAGUCCUACGGGAGGCAGCAGUGGGGAAUAUUGGACAAUGGGCGAAAGCCUGAUCCAGCAAUACCGCGUGGGUGAAGAAGGCAUUCGGGUUGUAAAGCCCUUUUGUUGGGAAAGAAAAGCAGCAGGUUAAUACCCCGCUGUUCUGACGGUACCCAAGGAAUAAGCACCGGCUAACUUCGUG